GCUCUGUUAACUCAGUUGGUUAGAGUGUAGUGCUAAUACAGCCAGCCAGACCCUCCCACCGAGGCGAUGGCUGGUCGUAACGCUAAAGUCACAGGUUCGAUCCCUGUACAGAGCA
Molecule: non-coding RNA, 115 nt
Organism: Zopfochytrium polystomum
Lineage: Eukaryota; Fungi; Chytridiomycota; Chytridiomycetes; Chytridiales; Chytridiaceae
Source: the annotation of a GenBank genome assembly